AGCAACUCUGUCACAGUUCUUUGACAACUAUUUUGAUGUUAGACAGAUAUGGUUAUUUCUCUCUGCUCUUCAUUCUGAUUUCUUAUGAAGAAAUCCCUGAUAUUUCAGGGAGGUUUAAAACUGCAUAGAUAUAAGUGCUGUGAAACAGAGUAGAUGGUGAAAUAAGCAUCAUAUUUUCCUUUAUAUUUAAAAUACAUUCACAGAGAGUGUUUGUUGUUUCAUUUGUUUGUUUGUAUGUUUGUUUCUCCAAGGUAAAUAUUGUGCUGGGGUUUUUGUUUGUGUGUUUGGUUUUGUUUUUUAUAUAUAAAUAUUAACAUUCUGUGCAAGCGUUCAGCAAUGGGCACAGCCUUGGGCCACACGUUGGGAGCAAGGCACUGCUUCUUCUUGUCGUGCCGAAGAUGACUCUGCCAGACCGCAAACCAAGGAGCACAGCACGAGAGCCUUGGUCUUGUCAUCAUGGUACAGAUGUGCUUACUGGAUGAAGCACAUACCAAUGUAUGCUCAGGAAGGACCUGUCUCAACUAUGCUUUACAAAACUGCAACAGAUAUGGUCCUAAUUUCUUCUUUCAGUUCUUGGUCCAAGUAGGUAAGUCUCUGUGUAAUUACUUUCCUUCUCCUUUGUUCUUCAUUUGAACAAAACUACCCACACCUAACCCAUUCCUGAUUAUGAACAAUCUCAUGCUUUUUCUUAUUUUUCUUCACAGAAAUAAGAAAAAUUACAUCACUUACAAGAAUGGCACUGUUGAUAAACAGGUAGAUACUUGGAUGUUUCAGAGAUGCAAAUUAUUCUUCUUUGGGUGGAAAAAAAGAAUUGUCCAGUUAAUAUGGCUUGAGAAACUGAUGAGAAGCUUUCAAGUUUGUGGAAACACAGUUUGGGGCUUUGCUUUUCCUGGAGAUUUUACAUCCUUCAAUUUUCAAAAAGCUGUAGGCAUUAGAGGAAAAAGAUCACAUAUGCGUCAUUCUCUCCACAAGUUCUAGUCGUCAGUGCCAACAGAUAUACUUUAUAGAUGUCUGGCUUUGGUUUCAGCAUCAUAACCAGAUGGCAGUGAAUCAUGCUUUAUAAUUUAUUUAAAAGGUUAGAAAUAAAUACUUUUGUCUGGCUCCUUCCCUCUUGCUU
RNAcentral lists this long non-coding RNA (1117 nucleotides) under Anas platyrhynchos platyrhynchos (common mallard). RNAcentral describes it as "lncRNA (ENSAPLG00000021850.1)". Lineage: Eukaryota; Metazoa; Chordata; Aves; Anseriformes; Anatidae. The record is from RNAcentral.